GGUCAAGCUACAAAGGGCGCACGGUGAAUGCCUUGGCGCUUGAGGCCGAUGAAGGACGCGGUUACCUGCGAAAAGAUCCGGGGAGUUGGUAGCAAACGGUGAUCCGGAUAUCUCCGAAUGGGGGAACCCCAUCAGGACUAACCCUGAUGACUCGCACCUGAAUACAUAGGGUGCGUAGAGGGCACCGAGGGAACUGAAACAUCUCAGUACCUCGAGGAACAGAAAAUAUUCCCUGAGUAGUGGCGAGCGAAACGGGAAGAGCCCAAACCCGAUCCACGUGAUAGCCGGCAGGCGUUGUGGAGUGGGUGUUGUGAGGCUCGACGGCGGAUCUGCCGAUCCGUAACGGAGUUAAAAACGUGACAGCUAGUGGAAUGCCGCCUGGAACGGCCAACCGAAGAGGGUGAGAGUCCCGUACACGAAAGUUGUCACGCUCCGGUCGAAGUCCUCGAGUACCACCCGGAAGGUCUCCAGGGUGGGAAACUGGGCAGACCAUUGUCUAAGGCUAAAUACCUCAAGCGACCGAUAGUGAACUAGUACCGUGAGGGAAAGGUGAAAAGCACCCCUGGCGGGGAGUGAAAUAGAAACUGAAACCGUGUGCCUACAAGCAGUCGAAGCGUGUUGCUGCGCAAGCAGUAGCGUGACGGCGUGCCUAUUGAAGAAUGAUCCGGCGAGUUAGCUGUAUGCGGCGAGGUUAAGGCCUGACGGCUGGAGCCGAAGCGAAAGCGAGUCUGAAUAGGGCGUGGGUCGCAAGACCCGUAGUCGCAUGCACUAGACCCGAAACCGCGUGAGCUACCCAUGGCCAGGCUGAAGCGGAGGUAAUACUCCGUGGAGGGCCGAACUCUUCAACGUUGAAAAGUUGAGGGAUGAGCUGUGGGUAGAGGCGAAAUGCCAACCGAACGCGGAGAUAGCUGGUUCUCCUCGAAAUAGCUUUAGGGCUAGCGUUGCGCGUUCCCUCUUUGAGGUAGAGCACUGGAUGGGCUAGGGGGCUUAUCGCUUACCAAACCCAACCAAACUCCGAAUGCGAAGAGGCGAAGCGUGGCAGUCAGACUCCGGGGGCUAAGCUCCGGGGUCAAAAGGGAAACAGCCCAGACCAACAGCUAAGGUCCCUCAAUCCAGGCUAAGUGGGAAAGGAUGUUGGAUCGCUCAGACAACCAGGAUGUUGGCUUAGAAGCAGCCAUCAUUGAAAGAGUGCGUAACAGCUCACUGGUCGAGUGAUCCAGCGCCGAAAAUCCAACGGGGCUCAAGCCUGGUACCGAAGCUUUGGAUGCACGAUCUCUUCGGAGAUCGUGCGUGGUAGAGGAGCGUUCUCAGUGCAGUGAAGGUGGACCGUGAGGACCGCUGGAGCGCUGAGAAGUGCGAAUGCCGGAACGAGUAGCGAAACAUGUGUGAGAAACAUAUGCGCCGUAUGCCUAAGGUUUCCUGAGGAAGGUUAAUCCGCUCAGGGUCAGUCGGGCCUAAGUCGAGGCCGAAAGGCGUAGACGAUGGACAUCCGGUUUAUAUUCCGGAACCGCUCAAGAUCGUUAUCAACAAAGGGGUGACUCAGUCUGGUAGUCCCAGCGCACUUUGGCUAUGUGCGUCUAAGCAGGUAGCCGCCUUCCAAUAGGUAAAUCCGUUGGGAGAUUAAGGUGAGAUGCGAAUGCGAGCCUCAGCAAUGAGGCGAGUGGGGCAAGCCAAGCUGACGAGAAAAGCCUCUAGUGAGAUCGCGAGUGCCCGUACCGCAAUCCGACACAGGUAGGCGGGUAGAGAAUACCAAGGCGAUCGGGAGAACCCUCCUUAAGGAACUCUGCAAAAUGACCCCGUAACUUCGGGAGAAGGGGUGCCUCGCACGCUUCGCAGCAAUGUGGAGCAAGUGAUCGAGGCCUCAGCUAAACGGGCUAAGCGACUGUUUAACAAAAACACAGGUCUCUGCGAAGGGGAAACCCUACGUAUAGGGGCUGACACCUGCCCAGUGCCGGAAGGUUAAUGGGAGAGCUGCAAGGCUUGAACUGAAGCCCCGGUGAACGGCGGCCGUAACUAUAACGGUCCUAAGGUGGAUCGCUGCCUUAGAGAAAUUCGACUAUUUGCUGGAACACCUGGCGGAUCCUCCGGUGCUCGCGAGAGAUCGCAGCGACAAUCCGAGAGGCGUUCAUCGGCUAAGCGAU
This 2141-nucleotide ribosomal RNA is filed under the name Acidobacteriota bacterium. RNAcentral describes it as "23S ribosomal RNA". It matches the Rfam family "Bacterial large subunit ribosomal RNA", at positions 1 to 2016 of the family's 2925-position model. The record is from RNAcentral. Lineage: Bacteria; Pseudomonadati; Acidobacteriota.